GUGCCCACUUGGACAGCACAUAUACUAAAAAUGGAAGGGUACAAAGAAGAUUAUUAGCAUGACCCCUGUGUAAGGAUGACACCCAAAUUCAUGAAGUAUUCCAUAUUUUC
This is a small nuclear RNA of Ailuropoda melanoleuca (giant panda), 110 nucleotides long. NCBI's taxonomy places the organism in Eukaryota, Metazoa, Chordata, Mammalia, Carnivora, Ursidae. The record is from Ensembl.